UGAGCAACCUGCCCUUCACUUUGAGAUAACCCUCGGAAACGGGGGCUAAUACCGGAUAGGACUGCUGGCCGCAUAGUUGGUGGUGGAAAGAUUUAUCGGCUGGGGAUGGGCCCGCGGCCUAUCAGCUUGUUGGUGGGGUAGUGGCCUACCAAGGCGACGACGGGUAGCCGGCCUGAGAGGGUGACCGGCCACACUGGGACUGAGACACGGCCCAGACUCCUACGGGAGGCA
RNAcentral lists this ribosomal RNA (231 nucleotides) under uncultured bacterium. RNAcentral's name for it is "partial 16S ribosomal RNA". It matches the Rfam family "Bacterial small subunit ribosomal RNA", at positions 118 to 350 of the family's 1533-position model. The record is from RNAcentral.